GAUGACAUUCGGUCAUUUGUUAUUUUUAAUUGUUAUUUUAAUGUUUUUUAGUUAGUUUUAAGGAGUUUUACAUGGUCAAAGAGAAGAAUAUUUGAAGAAAUUGACAUAGCAAGAAGUUUGNNNNNNNNNNNNNNNNNNAAGACCAAGAAGAAAAAUAUUUAAAAAAUUGGAAGUUUUUGAAUCAAUUGUAUGCAUGUGGCCACUGGAUUUUUCGCGUCCUCAUCCAACUCCCGUCGCGGCACGAUUUGCCACUCUCUCCAUAGCAUGACGUCAGCAUGAUGCGAGCAGUCCUUGUAUUUUUCCUUUGAUGAGGUGUCAGCAUGCUAUUGGAUUGCUAUUCCUUUUUUUAUUGUGUGGCACGUUAUACACUUUGGAAGGCAUAUAUAUAGAUCAGCUUUUUAACCUAA
Molecule: long non-coding RNA, 407 nt
Filed under: Trifolium pratense (red clover)
Lineage: Eukaryota; Viridiplantae; Streptophyta; Magnoliopsida; Fabales; Fabaceae
Description: long non-coding RNA (TPRA_LNC009542)
Source: RNAcentral